Molecule: ribosomal RNA, 465 nt
Filed under: uncultured bacterium
Lineage: Bacteria
Description: partial 16S ribosomal RNA
Rfam family: Bacterial small subunit ribosomal RNA
Source: RNAcentral
GACGAACGCUGGCGGCGUGCUUAACACAUGCAAGUCGAACGGAAAGGCCCUGCUUGCAGGGUACUCGAGUGGCGAACGGGUGAGUAACACGUGGGUGAUCUGCCCUGCACUUCGGGAUAAGCCUGGGAAACUGGGUCUAAUACCGGAUAGGAGCCAUUUUUAGUGUGAUGGUUGGAAAGUUUUUUCGGUGUAGGAUGAGCUCGCGGCCCAUCAGCUUGUUGGUGGGGUAAUGGCCUACCAAGGCGGCGACGGGUAGCCGGCCUGAGAGGGUGGACGGCCACAUUGGGACUGAGAUACGGCCCAGACUCCUACGGGAGGCAGCAGUGGGGAAUAUUGCACAAUGGGCGCAAGCCUGAUGCAGCGACGCCGCGUGGGGGAGGACGGCCUUCGGGUUGUAAACUCCUUUCGCUAGGGACGAAGCUUUUUGUGACGGUACCUAGAUAAGAAGCACCGGCUAACUACGUG